GAUCAGCCGUGUCUCGCGAAUGCCUUAGCAUUAAGUUGAUCAUGGCUCAGACGAGGGCGUAAGGCCAGAUGCCUAACACAUGCAAGUCGAGCGGAUGACGGGAGCUUGCUCCUUGAUUCAGCGGCGGACGGGUGAGUAAUGCCUAGGAAUCUGCCUGGUAGUGGGGGACAACGUUUCGAAAGGAACGCUAAUACCGCAUACGUCCUACGGGAGAAAGCAGGGGACCUUCGGGCCUUGCGCUAUCAGAUGAGCCUAGGUCGGAUUAGCUAGUUGGUGGGGUAAUGGCUCACCAAGGCGACGAUCCGUAACUGGUCUGAGAGGAUGAUCAGUCACACUGGAACUGAGACACGGUCCAGACUCCUACGGGAGGCAGCAGUGGGGAGUAUUGGACAAUGGGCGAAAGCCUGAUCCAGCCAUGCCGCGUGUGUGAAGAAGGUCUUCGGAUUGUAAAGCACUUUAAGUUGGGAGGAAGGGCAGUAAGUUAAUACCUUGCUGUUUUGACGUUACCGACAGAAUAAGCACCGGCUAACUCUGUGCCAGCAGCCGCGGUAAUACAGAGGGUGCAAGCGUUUGAUCGGAAUUACUGGGGCGUAAAAGCGCGCGUAGUGGUGUAAGUUUGGGCUGUGAAAGCCCGGGGCUUCAACCUGGGGAAACUGCGUUCCAAAACUGGCAGCCUAGAAGUUAACGGG
Molecule: ribosomal RNA, 689 nt
Filed under: uncultured bacterium
Lineage: Bacteria
Description: bacterial SSU rRNA
Rfam family: Bacterial small subunit ribosomal RNA
Source: RNAcentral